Molecule: ribosomal RNA, 371 nt
Filed under: uncultured bacterium
Lineage: Bacteria
Description: bacterial SSU rRNA
Rfam family: Bacterial small subunit ribosomal RNA
Source: RNAcentral
GGGGGGUGCAAGCGUUGUUCGGAUUUAUUGGGCGUAAAGCGCGUGUAGGCGGUUCUAUAAGUCUGAUGUGAAAGCCCUGGGCUCAACCUGGGAAGUGCAUUGGAUACUGUAGGACUUGAAUACGGGAGAGGGCAGUGGAAUUCCUGGUGUAGGAGUGAAAUCCGUAGAUAUCAGGAGGAACACCGGUGGCGAAGGCGGCUGCCUGGACCGAUAUUGACGCUGAGACGCGAAAGCGUGGGUAGCAAACAGGAUUAGAUACCCUGGUAGUCCACGCCGUAAACGAUGAGAACUAGGUGUUGCGGGUAUUGACCCCUGCAGUGCCGCAGCUAACGCAUUAAGUUCUCCGCCUGGGAAGUACGGUCGCAAGACUA